RNAcentral lists this ribosomal RNA (467 nucleotides) under uncultured bacterium. Its description in RNAcentral is "bacterial SSU rRNA". It matches the Rfam family "Bacterial small subunit ribosomal RNA", at positions 355 to 822 of the family's 1533-position model. The record is from RNAcentral.
UCGGGAAUUUUGGGCAAUGGGCGAAAGCCUGACCCAGCAACGCCGCGUGCGGGAUGAAGGCCCUUUGGGUUGUAAACCGCUGUCAAGGGAGGGGAAACACCUAGUGUUAACAGCGCUAGGCUUGACUGCUCCCUAAAGGAAGCCCCGGCAAACAUGUGCCAGCAGCCGCGGUAAUACAUGUGGGGCAAGCGUUGUUCGGAAUUACUGGGCAUAAAGGGUGCGUAGGCGGUUUGUUAAGUCACUGGUGAAAGUUUGCGGCCCAACCGUAAAAUUGCCUGUGAUACUGGCGAACUUGAGUGCGUGAGGGGUAGGGGAACGAGCAGUGUAGCGGUGAAAUGCAUAGAUAUCGUCAAGAACACCGAUAGCGAAGGCAGCUUACCAAGCUGUAACUGACACUGAGGCACGAAAGUGUGGGGAUCGAAACAGGAUUAGAUACCCGAGUAGUCCCUGAGCGGGCUGGCAAGGCG